Molecule: ribosomal RNA, 468 nt
Filed under: uncultured bacterium
Lineage: Bacteria
Description: partial 16S ribosomal RNA
Rfam family: Bacterial small subunit ribosomal RNA
Source: RNAcentral
GACGAACGCUGGCGGCGUGCUUAACACAUGCAAGUCGAACGGAAAGGCCCUGCUUUUGUUGGGUGCUCGAGUGGCGAACGGGUGAGUAACACGUGAGUAACCUGCCCUUGACUUUGGGAUAACUUCAGGAACCUGGGGCUAAUACCGGAUAGGAGCUCCUGCUGCAUGGUGGGGGUUGGAAAGUUUCGGCGGUUGGGGAUGGACUCGCGGCUUAUCAGCUUGUUGGUGGGGUAGUGGCUUACCAGGGCUUCGACGGGUAGCCGGCCUGAGAGGGUGACCGGCACCAGUGGGACUGAGAUACGGCCCAGACUCCUACGGGAGGCAGCAGUGGGGAAUAUUGCACAAUGGGCGGAAGCCUGAUGCAGCAACGCCGCGUGCGGGAUGACGGCCUUCGGGUUGUAAACCGCUUUCGCCUGUGACGAAGCGUGAGUGACGGUAAUGUGUAAAGAAGCACCGGCUAACUACGUG